RNAcentral lists this long non-coding RNA (1293 nucleotides) under Homo sapiens (human). Its description in RNAcentral is "HSALNT0266456". The record is from RNAcentral. Lineage: Eukaryota; Metazoa; Chordata; Mammalia; Primates; Hominidae.
GAUUACAGGGAUGAGCCACCACUGAAUAUUUUAAGCUCACUGUUGAGACCUACUGCUUAGGAAAAAAGAUUCCUUUCUAAAUAUGACUGCUCAUUGACAACGCACCUGGUCAUCCCAGAGCUCUGAAAGAGAUGUACAAGGAGAUUAUUAGUGUCGUUUUUAUGCCUGCUAACACAAUAUCCAUUUUGCAGCCCAUGGAUCAAGGAGUAAUUUCAACUUUCAAGCCCUAUUAUUUUAAUUUUUAGUUUAUAUAAGAUCAAUUCUUAUUAUUUAAGAAAUAUAUUUCAUAAAGCUAUAGCUGUCGUAGAUAGUGACUUUUGUGAUGGAUCUGGGCAGAGUAAACUGAAAACAUUCCGGAAAGAAUUCAUCAUUCUAGAUACCAUUAAGAACAUUAAUGAUUCAUGGGAAGAGGUCGAAAUGUCAACAUUAAUAGGAGUUUGGAAGAUACUGAUUUCAACAUUCAUGGAUGAUUUUGAGGGGCUCACGACUUCAGUGGAGGAAGUAACAUCCUCUUUAGCAUCAUUCUUAAGGGCCCUAGGAUUUUCAGAAUGGCAAAUCAACACUGGCUUCAACUUAAAGUCACCAGCUGCCUUGGCCCCUAACAAGAGAGUCUGGCUGGGCACAGUAGCUCCCGCCUGUGAUCCCAGCACUUUGAGAGGCCUAGGUGGGAGAACUGCUUGAGGUCAGGUGUUCAAGACCAGCCUGGGCAAUACGGCAAGACCCCACCUCUAAUUUUUUUAAAAGGAAACAAGAGACAGAGUCAGCCUGUCCUUUGAAGCUUUGAAGAAUGGCACUGAUUUCUCUUCUCUAGCUAUGAAAGUCCCAGAUGACAUCUUCUUCCAACAGAAGACUGUUCAUUUACACUGCAAAUCUGUUGUUUAGUAGAACCACCUUCAGCAUUGAUCUUAGCUAGAUCUUCUGGAUAACUUGCACAGCUUCUACAUCAGCACUAUGGCUUCCCCUUGCACUUUGAUGUUAGAGAGAUGGCUUCUUUCCUCAAACCUUGUAAGUCAACCUCUGCUAGCUUCAAACUUUUCUUCUUCAGCUUCCUCACCUCUCUUGGGCUUCAGAGAACUGAAGAGGGGCCUUGCUCUGGAUUAGGCUUUGGCUUAAGGAAGUGCUGCGGCUUCUUUGAUCUUCUCUCCAGAUCACUAAAGCUUUCUCCAUAUCAGCAAAAAGGCUGGGUUUUGUUGUUAGUGGUUUUUUUGGGUUUUCUUGUUUUUCUUUUUGAGAUGGAGUCUCACUCUAUUGCCCAGGCUGGAAUGCAGUGGCACAAUCUCAGCUCACUGCAAC